This is a long non-coding RNA of Mus musculus (house mouse), 784 nucleotides long. RefSeq annotates it as RIKEN cDNA 1700067P10 gene. NCBI's taxonomy places the organism in Eukaryota, Metazoa, Chordata, Mammalia, Rodentia, Muridae. The record is from RefSeq and is marked validated. The transcript is spliced from 3 exons.
ACAACCUUUCCCACUUGGACUUUCAAGGACUCAGAAAGCUAGUGCUAGAGAAAGAAGAUCAUGUCCUUGGGAAAGAUGGAGAAUGAGUUCGAAGUCAGGAAAGCCCGACUCUACAAGGGACUGAGAUGGAAGACCCAGACCCAGGGCGACCCGCACUCCCACUCACCUGGGAAUGAGCUCUGCCCCUCCACGGAGCAAGCUUCAAAGGUCUGCCUGUGUGGCUGCAGCUUGCGGACAAAAGCGGUCCUCCACCCCAGGCCGGAUCCAGUCCCUCUUCUAGUCUCUCGGGGGCCGUCCAGCUUGCCAUCAGAGAGGAAGACACUGGUUUCCAAGGAGACAGUCUUUCCAGCUCAGCUCUCCCACCACUCUCCGAAGGAAAAAGCUGAGGGCAAGUCCCAGCUGUUAUCUUGGCGGGAUCCGGUACCUCUGCGCCAGCUGGUGCCUAUGAGCGUGUGGCCCAAGGGCUUUAUUCAUCCACUCCCCAAACCUUUGCCAGGGCAAGCUCUGAGCACCUUUAUCCAUGUUGAAGGGGUUCACAUCCCUAGGGCAGUAUCUCCGGUGACAUCACUGGUGGAAGAUAACAAGUCUUCUAUGCCACCUUUACUAAAAUGAACGUGCCUGCUCAAUUAAUUGCUAUUUAUCUGUGUCUACUGUAAACACGCAAAACUGUCCAUUUUUAACUGAGAAUAUAUUUUUAUCCUCAAUGUGAACCCAGUUGGGACUUCCAGAAUACUGUAUCCCAGUGUAUCUUUCAAAAUAUAUUUUUAUUUUUAUUUGUGCAUGU